UUUUUUAGGAAUUUUUUGGGAUUUUUGGGGGGAUUUUUUGGGAUAUUUUGGGGAUUUUUAGGGAAGGUUUUUGGGUCAUUUUGGGUCCAUUUUUGGGCCAUUUUGGGUUUGUUUUUGGGUCAUUUUGGCUCCAUUUUUGGACCAUUUUGGGUCCAUUUUUGGGCCAUUCUGGGUCCAUUUUUGGGAUUUUUUUUGUUGCCAUUUUUGGGUUUUUUGGGUCCAUUUUUGGGUCAUUUUGGCUCCAUUUUUGGGUCAUUUUGGGUCCAUUUUUGGGUCAUUUUGGCUCCAUUUUUGGGCCAUUCUGGGUUGGAUUUUUGGGCCCUUUUGUGUCCAUUUUUGGGUCAUUUUGGCUCCAUUUUUGGGCCAUUCUGGGUUGGAUUUUUGGGCUAUUUUAGAUCCAUUUUUGGGCCAUUUUGGCUCCAUUUUUGGGUCAUUUUGGCUCCAUUUUUGGGCCAUUCUGGGUUGGAUUUUUGGGCCCUUUUGUGUCCAUUUUUGGGUCAUUUUGGCUCCAUUUUUGGGUCAUUUUGGCUCCAUUUUUGGGUCAUUUUGGCUCCAUUUUUGGGCCAUUCUGGGUUGGAUUUUUGGGCUAUUUUAGAUCCAUUUUUGGGCCAUUCUGGCUCCAUUUUUGGGUCAUUUUGGCUCCAUUUUUGGGCCAUUCUGGCUCCAUUUUUGGGCCAUUUUGGCUCCAUUUUUGGGCCAUUCUGGGUUAGAUUUUUGGGCCAUUCUGGCUCCAUUUUUGGGUUCAUUUUGGGUGUUUUUGUGUCCCCCCAGGGUCCCCCUGGCCCGCGAGGACAGCGCGGCGUUCCGGCAGCGCCGCCUCCGGGGACGAGUUUGGGCCAUUUUGGGUCAAUUCUGGGACAUUUUGGGUCCAUUUUUGGGUCCAUUUUGGGUCCAUUUUUGGACCAUUUUGGGUUCAUUUUUGGGUAUUUUUGGGAUUUUUUUUCUUGCCAUUUUUGGGUUUUUUGGCUCCAUUUUUGUGUCAUUCUGGCUCCAUUUUUGGGCCAUUUGGGCUCUAUUUUUGUGUCAUUCUGGCUCUAUUUUUGGGUCCAUUUUUGGGUUCAUUUUUGGGCCAUUUUGGCUCCAUUUUUGGGCCAUUCUGGGUUAGAUUUUUGGGCUAUUUUAGAUCCAUUUUUGGGCCAUUCUGGGUUAGAUUUUUGGGCUAUUUUAGAUCCAUUUUUGGGUCAUUUUGGCUCCAUUUUUGGACCAUUUUGGUUCAAUUCUGGGCCAUUUUGGGUCCAUUUUUGGGUCAUUUUGGUGCCGAUUUUUGGGAUUUUCUGUGUCCAUUUUUGGGCCAUUUUUUUGCUGAUUUUCAGGUUUUUGGUGCUGUUUUUGGGCCAUUUUGGGUCCAUUUUUGGGCCGUUUUGGGUCCAUUUUUGGGCCAUUUUGGGUUCAUUUUUGGGAUUUUUUUUGUUGCCAUUUUUGGGUUUUUGGCUCCAUUUUUGGGUCAUUUUGGGUCCAUUUUUGGGUUAUUUUAGAUCCAUUUUUGGGCCAUUUUGGCUCCAUUUUUGGGCCAUUUUGGCUCCAUUUUUGGACCAUUUUAGGGUCCAUUUUUGGGAUUUUUUUUGUUGCCAUUUUUGGGUUUUUUGGCUCCAUUUUUGGGUUCAUUUUGGCUCCAUUUUUGGGUCAUUUUGGCUCCAUUUUUGGACCAUUUUGGCUCCAUUUUUGGGCCAUUUUUUUUGCUGA
This 1683-nucleotide long non-coding RNA is filed under the name Cyanistes caeruleus (blue tit). RNAcentral's name for it is "lncRNA (ENSCCEG00000011807.1)". Lineage: Eukaryota; Metazoa; Chordata; Aves; Passeriformes; Paridae. The record is from RNAcentral.